Molecule: ribosomal RNA, 324 nt
Filed under: Triticum aestivum (bread wheat)
Lineage: Eukaryota; Viridiplantae; Streptophyta; Magnoliopsida; Poales; Poaceae
Description: partial small subunit ribosomal RNA
Source: RNAcentral
AUGGAUGGCGCCGGUGGAGAUGCAGGUGUGGAGCCACCAGAGUUGUACAAGGAGGAGGCGCCGACGGAGAUGAUGGGGAACGAGAGCCGGAAGAGCAGCGGCAGCAAGGCACAGUCUCCAUGGGAGGCGUCGGGAAGAGCUCGAUGCGGCAGCCUGGACCAUGGGGACGAGGUCCUCGGUUGUGGGGAUGGGAGGAGCGGCGGUCUCAGGAAAGGCUUCACGCCGGCAACGGAGGACACGCUGCAGCGCAACCACAUUGGAGGAGCUACGGGGAGGAGAAGGAGGCGCGGAGGUUGGAGGUCGCGAGCGAGGAGAUGGGAAUAG